This 253-nucleotide ribosomal RNA is filed under the name uncultured bacterium. RNAcentral's name for it is "partial 16S ribosomal RNA". It matches the Rfam family "Bacterial small subunit ribosomal RNA", at positions 524 to 776 of the family's 1533-position model. The record is from RNAcentral.
UACGGAAGGUGCAAGCGUUGUUCGGAAUGACUGGGCGUAAAGCGCACGUAGGCGGGUUCGUAAGUCGGAUGUGAAAGCCCCAGGCUCAACCUGGGAAUGGCAUCCGAAACUCCGAAUCUUGAAUGCCUGAGAGGUUGGUGGAAUUCCUGGUGUAGGAGUGAAAUCCGUAGAUAUCAGGAGGAACACCGGAGGCGAAGGCGGCCAACUGGUGGUGCAUUGACGCUAAGGUGCGAAAGCGUGGGGAGCAAACAGG